This 913-nucleotide ribosomal RNA is filed under the name Curvularia verruculosa. Its description in RNAcentral is "LSU rRNA". It matches the Rfam family "Eukaryotic large subunit ribosomal RNA", at positions 38 to 966 of the family's 3401-position model. Lineage: Eukaryota; Fungi; Ascomycota; Dothideomycetes; Pleosporales; Pleosporaceae. The record is from RNAcentral.
GCAUAUCAAUAAGCGGAGGAAAAGAAACCAACAGGGAUUGCCCUUAGUAACGGCGAAGUGAAGCGGCAACAGCUCAAAUUUGAAAUCUGGCUCUUUUAGAGUCCGAAGUUGUAAUUUGCAGAGGGCGCUUUGGCUUUGGCAGCGGUCCAAGUUCCUUGGAACAGGACGUCACAGAGGGUGAGAAUCCCGUACGUGGUCGCUAGCUAUUGCCGUGUAAAGCCCCUUCGACGAGUCGAGUUGUUUGGGAAUGCAGCUCUAAAUGGGAGGUAAAUUUCUUCUAAAGCUAAAUAUUGGCCAGAGACCGAUAGCGCACAAGUAGAGUGAUCGAAAGAUGAAAAGCACUUUGGAAAGAGAGUCAAACAGCACGUGAAAUUGUUGAAAGGGAAGCGCUUGCAGCCAGACUUGCUUGCAGUUGCUCAUCCGGGCUUUUGCCCGGUGCACUCUUCUGCAGGCAGGCCAGCAUCAGUUUGGGCGGUGGGAUAAAGGUCUCUGACACGUUCCUCUCUUCGGGGAGGCCAUAUAGGGGAGACGUCAUACCACCAGCCUGGACUGAGGUCCGCGCAUCUGCUAGGAUGCUGGCGUAAUGGCUGUAAGCGGCCCGUCUUGAAACACGGACCAAGGAGUCUAACAUCUAUGCGAGUGUUUGGGUGUCAAGCCCGAACGCGUAAUGAAAGUGAACGGAGGUGGGAACCCGCAAGGGCGCACCAUCGACCGAUCCUGAAGUUUACGGAAGGAUUUGAGUAAGAGCAUGGCUGUUGGGACCCGAAAGAUGGUGAACUAUGCUUGAAUAGGGUGAAGCCAGAGGAAACUCUGGUGGAGGCUCGCAGCGGUUCUGACGUGCAAAUCGAUCGUCAAAUUUGGGCAUAGGGGCGAAAGACUAAUCGAACUAUCUAGUAGCUGGUUCCUGCCGAAG